Molecule: ribosomal RNA, 253 nt
Filed under: uncultured bacterium
Lineage: Bacteria
Description: partial 16S ribosomal RNA
Rfam family: Bacterial small subunit ribosomal RNA
Source: RNAcentral
UACAGAGGGUGCGAGCGUUAAUCGGAAUUACUGGGCGUAAAGCGCGCGUAGGCGGCUUUUCAAGUCGAUUGUGAAAUCCCCGGGCUUAACCUGGGAACUGCAGUCGAGACUGUCUAGCUAGAGUAUGGGAGAGGGAAGUGGAAUUUCAGGUGUAGCGGUGAAAUGCGUAGAUAUCUGAAGGAACAUCAGUGGCGAAAGCGAGUUCCUGGACAAAUACUGACGCUCAUGUGCGAAAGCGUGGGGAGCGAACGGG